RNAcentral lists this long non-coding RNA (13482 nucleotides) under Lactuca sativa (garden lettuce). Its description in RNAcentral is "long non-coding RNA (LSAT_LNC002490)". The record is from RNAcentral. Lineage: Eukaryota; Viridiplantae; Streptophyta; Magnoliopsida; Asterales; Asteraceae.
CUCUCCACUUACAGACAUGGAAUGUAUGAAGAAGAUGGGAGAGAUAACUCACCAUAGAAUCAAGACCAAUGGAAUCUGGAUGCACGUUGCAGAAAAAGGCGAAGGACCAGUAGUCCUCCUCCUCCAUGGCUUCCCGGAGUUCUGGUUUUCAUGGCGCCAUCAGAUCACUUACUUAACUAACCACGGUUACCGCGUGCUCGUACCUGACCUCCGCGGCUAUGGCAAUUCCGACGCUCCGCCCUCUCCCUCUUCCUACACCAUCUUCCACAUCGUCGCAGACCUCAUCGGCGUACUAGACCACUUCAAUCAACAACAGGUAUGUGUGCUUUAAUGGCGAUGAAGCUUUAAUUAGCGUUUUAGGGUUGAUUUAGUGUAAGUAUGAAUAUCAGGUGUUUGUGGUGGGACACGAUUGGGGAGCACACGCCGCCUGGCAUCUUGGCCUUUUCCGGCCAGAUCGGGUGAAAGGAAUCGUUGCUCUCAGUGUUGUGUUCUCUGCUAGAUCUCCAGACAUCAGUCCGAUUCAAUCGUUAACGAAAUCAUUCGGAGAUAGUUUCUAUAUGACCCAAUUCCAGGUCAACUUCUUCUCCUCACUCUGUGUUAAACAAAUGGAGAUGAAUUUUAUAAAGUUUGAGAAAUUAAUACAGGAAUCAGGAAGAGCAGAGAGGGCUUUUGCGAAAUACGAUUGCUUGACUCUAAUGAAGAAGUUUUUGCUGAUCAACCAUGGCGAUGUACUGGUAGCACCUCCUGGAAUGGAGAUUAUCGAUCACCUGCAAAUUCCUUCUUCAUUACCUCCAUGGAUAACAGAAGAUGAGCUUCAAGUGUAUGCAGAUAAGUUUCAGGAGACUGGAUUCACUGGAGGUUUAAAUUACUAUCGUGCUAUAGAUCUGUAAGACUCAAAACACAGAUAUUUGCUUUGAUUUGAUUAAAUUCACUUCCUUUUUUUGUUCUUUGUAAUGGUAUGAAUUGAUUUGCAGGAAUUGGGAGCUACAAGCGCCAUGGCAAGGGGCUAAGAUAAGAGUUCCAUCGAAGCUGAUUGUUGGGGACAAAGAUAUUGGAUAUGAAAGUUGGAAAAAAGCAUACGUUCAUGGAGAUGUUAUGAAAGGAUUGAUUCCUGGUGUUGAAGUUGUGAUUAUGGAAGGCCACCAUUUUAUUCAACUUGAGAAACAUCAAGAGGUUUCUGAUCACAUCUUAUCUUUCCUUAACAAACUUGCAUAAGUUAGGGUUUUAGUGUCUCAUAAACCCAAUGCAAGUAUUUGUUGGACUUUUCUUUCUCCAGUUUUUUGUUUUUAUUUCACGAACACAUUGUAAAUUUUGAAGUAAUCAAAAAGACGUGAAGUAGGAACUCACACAUUUGGACUGCAUAGUUGUUCAUGAUCCGGUGGUUUACAGUUAAAAUCACAAAACCACACCAUAUAUUCUGUUUAAGCUUUUUAGAAACUGCAAUAGAUAAGCUUGAAUAUACACACAUGUUUCAUGAUUACCAAAAUAAAUUUCAAUAAAUUGAUUGAUAAAUUUAUUUAUUCAAGUUUUUUAUAAACAAAAAUAUCAAAACUGGGUAAUAAUUUAGGGCGAGCAUGAACCGGGUUGGGUCAGUUUUGCGGUAAAAAAUGACCCAAGACCGAAAUGUUGGUUUUCAAAAAACUAGAACCCAACCCAAACCAAAACAAUGGGUUCAGUUUCUCGGUUCCGGUUUAGUUUUUUGGUUUCGGGUUCAAGGAGUUUGGAUGCCUUUGAGCCAAGUCAAGAAUGAAACAAUAUUUUGAUUCAUUUUGCAAAGAAAAAACUUUCAAUGUUUGCAACCCUAAAGAAAAUGCACAAAAUUGCAAGAAUGGUGCAUGCAUGUCAAAACUAUUAUGUUUGGGCCAAACAAGUUUGAACUUACAAGAUGGUCUAAAAGUUUCAUUUUGAGUAAAUUACACGAAUGGUCCCUAUGGUUUGGGGUAAUUUGCACGUUUGGUUCCUAACUUAUAUUUUUAAUUCGGAAGGUCCCUACAACUUGUUUUUUUUGCACGUUUGGUCCCUGUCUUACCUAAAAAGACUAUUUUGCCCUUGAUUUUUUAAUUUAUUUGAAUAAAGUGGCGUAUGUAAAGUAAAGUUAGGUGAGGUGAAAGUGGGGUUAGAGGUAUGUUUAUUUAAAUAAAUUAAAAAAUAAAGGGCAAAAUAGUUUUUUUAGGUAAGACAGGGACCAAGCUCGCAACAAAAACAAACAGUAGGAACUUCCGAGUUAAAAAAUAAAUUAGGGACCAAACGUGCAAAUUACCCAAACCAUAGGGACCAUUCGUGUAAUUUACUCUUUCAUUUUGUUGCGAGUCCAUUUUGUUUUGAUUUUUUAUAAAGUGAUGAUUUUGCCCUCGCUAUUUUCUUUUUUCAGUUUUUAUUACAAAAAUCUAAAAAAUAAAAGAAAAGAAAAAAGAAAAUACUCAUAUAUCUCUCUCUCUCUCUCGUUUUAACCUCCGGUGAAGGAAGGGAAGGAGGAACUGGCGAUUUCACAAAUUCUUCCUUGACUCACCGGAAAAACGGGCUCCCCUUCUUCGUGACUACUCAACCACCAUCGAUCCACUUCAGUUGUCCGAGCCUAAGCCUGACCUCCUAGGUCAGACCAUCGUACUUGGGUUUUCAACCACCGUCGUUUAGAUCUACAAUGCCACUGUUAUCGUCGUUCUUCUACAAGAGUCAUCUUCUACACACCUAAAAUCGAUACACACACCGAUUCAGAGAAGAACAAGAGAGAGGGACAUGAUUGACAUUUGAUUCAAUCAUUAGAAAGGUCGCAAAACUUUCUACGCUGUAAAUCGUAAUCCCUUUCAUCUGUAAUCGUAAUCCCUUUCACCUGUAAAUUGUAAUCCCAAGCAGAUUUAUGACCUCGAUUUGCUACUUAGCUCUGGCAUUCUUCGUCAGUCAAUCAAGUAUUUCACCAGAUUGCAUAUCGGAGGAGUAAAGUUUAAGAGAAAGCGGGAAAUGGCAUCCCAAUCCUAGCAUCAUCAAGCAAGUAUUUUAGGGUUAUGGUAUGUCAAAGAAAAAAUCAUGCGUCUAUCUCCCAACCCCUUGAUUCACCUCCUAAAUUUUUGAUUUUCGAUUUGGGUUUUAUAGGGCUGGCUAGUGUCAGUUUUUCCUUGUACUGAUUUGGGGUAUACGGUGUCUGCGAUUCAGGGAGAGGGAUAAAACGGGUCCAGUUUGCCCUCAUCUUCAUGUUUAUUGAGUUGUUUGUGUGCUUGUGGGUUUGAGUUGGGCAGUUCAUAGAAGAAAUCGAUUCAGGUGGUGGUGAUGGCAGUUUAUCAGAAAUCGAUUUCUGGGUUCGUGAAUAUGAUGUUCUUGUUCUUGAACUAAAAAAAAACACAAGUGUUCUUGAGAUUCAUAUUUAUAUUUGUGUGUAUGUGUUUAGUUCUAUUUUUAUUUCACAUAAUUAAUUGAACAACAUUGAUAAAAGUGAGGGUUCUUUUUACAAAUCCACUUCCAGAUCUAUAUUAAUUUUGUGUAGAGAGAGAGAGAGAGAGAGAGAGAGAGAGAGAGAGAGAGAGAGAGAGAGAGAGAGAGAGAGAGAAUUUUAUUUUUGUUUUUGUUUUAAUUGUUUUUUAGUUACUGGUAAUAAAACAAAAAUGGAAAAUUAAAUUACAAGGGCAGAAUCGUUUUUACAAAAAAAAUCAAACCAAAUUGGACCAAACUUGCAAGUAAAUGAAACUUUUGGACCAUUGAUGCUAGCCCAAACCGUUUUGUCCCAAACAUGCUAGUUUUGCCAUACCAAAGGGAGCAUUCUUACAAUUUUGUCAAGAGAAUAAGGUGAUGGUUGGCCGAUAUGAAGAAAGUUAAUUGGAAUUGGGCUGAUGCUCAAAGUGGAGAGUUAAAUUAAAAAUCGUAGUGGUUUAAGGGCUUUAUUAUUUAAAAAACAAGAGAGUAUAGUCUAUUUUUCCAAUUGGACACAAAUCAAAAUCAGUCACCGGUGUUUACUCCAUUAGAAGUUGUUAAAAUGUAUAGUGUUUAUAGUGGAGAUCUGGAUACAAACUUGGAUCGUGUGAACACUUUUCGAACUGAUAUUUCUACCUUAUGCCUAGAUUACAAGAAAUUUAGCUUAGGAUGAUCAAAGAGGACACUUACGAUUCUAGGCACAAAAAUCGUAAGCCAAAUUGCUAGAAUGAUUAUGUGAGUGUUUGAAGAAAAACGAGAGCUAAAUUUUGUGUGUCACUUCUAAAAGGAAGAGUCGUUUAUAUAUAAUAAACGAAAUUAAGGUUUCAUUAGGGUUGGAUCGUCAUCAGUUGCUUUACAAGCAAGUCAGGGUAAUCCGGAUUUUAAUGAGGAUUUAGGGUUUCUAAAACUGACGAAUUUCGUUAGUUUUUACCAUAAUCACCCUCAAGAAUUCGAUUUUCCCACUAUGUUCCCAUAUGUAUUUUUUGAAGAGGCAGUGCCCCAGCCAGGGGCUCUGCUCCUUGGACCCCGUUAGGGGCACUGCCCCUGGACCCCCAACAUGUCAUCGAACCGUCUUCUAAUUCGAUCUUAUACAUGCGUGCACUCCACACAAACCUCGUACAUAUAUUAGAGUACAAAUUAUGAAGCCCCUUAGCUCACAUGUUAGUUCUAGUUACAUAAAAUGACAUGGUGACACUAAAAUCACCAACAGAAGUGCCACGAGUACAAGCAACCAAUUAAACUCAACACCCGUUAUGAUUGAUUCGUCUAUUGAAUCUUUUGAAAACAGUCAAGUCAAGGAGUAAGCCCAUCGAUGUUCGAUCAUACCCUUGUAUGUGGGUUUUGAUCCGUGCAUGAUAUAUACGUUGAAACUCAUCCUAUAAAAGAUAAACAAGUAGACUUGAUGUUUGUUGGUGAAGAGUCUUCGACUUAUCUAGAGGCAACAGGGAUCGACAGUGCCUAGAAGUGAUAAAAAGUGAAUUGGAUUCAAUCGAAAUAAAAUAAAAUACAUACAUUGACUCACUAGGUUGAAAUGAGUAUUUAAACUAAAAAUGGAUGUAGACGGUAAGGUAACAAAACACAAAGCAUGGUUCAUCGUGAAGGGAUAUUUGCAAUAAAAGGCUAAUUAUGACCUUGCCUGAGGGUGUCGAUGAUUUUGUAGUUUAUUGUGAUGCCUCGAUCACGGGUUUGGGUGUAGUAUUAAUGCAACGGGGUCGCGUGAUCGCUUACGCUUCGAGGUGGCUGAAACCUCAUGAGGCAAAUUAUCCGACACAUGAUUUGGAGUUGGGGGCUGUGAUUUCGCCCUCAAGAUUUGGCGGCAUUACCUCUAUGGGGUUUGUUGUAUUAUUUACACGUACCACAAGAGCCUGAGGUAUUUAAUGGAUCAGCCAAACCUGAAUAUGAGGCAACGUUGUUGGUUGGAUGUGGUGAAGGAUUAUGAAUGCAGUAUACUUUAUCACCUGGGGAAGGCCAAUGUGGUGGCCGAUGCUCUCAGCCGCAAAGCGGUCGUGGCUCCGAUCAGAGAUUUAUGCUUGAGGAUGACCCUGGUUACUCCGUUGUUGGAACACACUCGUGAGGCACAGAUUGAAGCGAUGAAAGAAGAGCAUCAGAAGAGCGAGCAUAUUGUGGUUCAAGUGGCUUCCUUCGAUUAUGAUAGCCAAGGAUUGUGGACCCUGCAUCGGAGGGUAUGGGUUCCUUAUUGGGGCGGUGCGUGACAAAUUCUGAUGGAGGAGGCUCACAAGUCGAGAUUCUUCAUUCAUCCCGGGGCGAUGAAGAUGUAUAGGGAUCUUCGUCCUGAUUAUUGGUGGCCCUGCAUGAAGUGGGAUGUGACAUGGUUUAUGGAGCGGUGCUUGACUUGCAGGAAAGUCAAGGCCGAGCAUCAGUGACCUCACGACAAGAUGCAACCGUUGGAGAUUCCCGUUUGGAAAUGGGAAGACAUAACGAUGGAUUUUACCAUGAAGCUUCCUAGGACCGCGCGCGGAGUGGAUUCUAUCUGGGUCAUCGUGGAUCGAUUGACCAAGAGUGCGCAUUUCAUUCUGAUCCAGGAGAGUUUUUCUACAGAGAAAUUGGCCGAGAUUUAUGUCUGGGAGGUGGUGACACGUCAUGGGGUGCCAGUAUCAGUGAUUUUAGACCGGGAUAUUCGUUUUAUUUCCAGAUUUUGGAAGUGGUUUCAUGAAGAGACAAGCACUCGUCCCCAUUUCAUACAACAUUUCAUCCACAGACCUAUGGGCAGAGUGAGCGACCGAUUCAGACUCUUGAGGAUAUGUUGCGUGCAUGUGUAUUGAAUUUUGGUGGGAGUUGGAAUACAUAUCUUCCGUUAGCAGAAUUUUCGUAUAACAAUAAUUAUCACACUAACAUUGAUCGAUCUCCUUUUGAGAUGCUCUAAAGGGAUUCACUUGAAGGUGGUCUCAUUAUCGUAAAAGGAAACAUAACGACAAGCAUUCUUUGAUGGUGGUUCGUGCCAAUGAUCAUGGGUGUGAUCAUGGUGCUGCUGGAAUGUAGACGAUGAAGCUUUAUAAGUAACUAUGUCAUUUGGUUUCGAUUGAAAGUACACCUAUAGAAGUGAAAGAUUCGAAGCAAUGGUGGUGAGCUUUUUCGAGCUGCAUGCAGGUUCUUGAGUAGAAAUUACAUGAAUAACCGUGUGUUUCACUAUUUCUUAUUUCUAAAAUAACCCCAAAAAAUAAAUGAAAAAAAAAGAGUAAAACCAUCUUCUAAAAUAGACCAAAUCUAUAAUAAAAGGAAACCAAAAGGACCAUAUUGAUAAUUUAUAAAACCAAUUGGACUGUACCAAUUAUAUCAGCAAACUACAUGGACCAAUUUUACAAUCUUCUCUAAUAUAAAAGAAGUAUAAUCACAUACGUGUUUGAAAAUGGGGCCGUUGACCAUAAUCACAAUAAGUUUAAAUGCAGCAAGUUUUACGUUUGACUACAUGAUCCAGUGUUCUUACAGGAAACAAACGUCUCUCCAGUUACAGACAUGGAAAUGGAAUGGAUGAAGAAGAUGGGUGAAAUAACUCACCAUACAAUCAAAACCAACGGAAUAUCGAUGCAUGUUGCAGAAAAAGGCGACGGACCUGUAGUAGUGCUCCUCCUCCAUGGCUUCCCGGAGUUCUGGUUUUCAUGGCGUCAUCAGAUCACUCACUUAAGUAACCAUGGUUACCGUGUCCUCGCACCUGACCUCCGCGGCUAUGGCGAUUCCGACUCUCCAUCCUCUCCCUCUUCCUACACCUUCUUCCACAUAGUCGGUGAUCUCAUCGGCGUUCUAGAUCACUUCAAUCAACAACAGGUACGUCAUUUGUGUGCUUUAAUGGCGAUGAAGCUUUAAUUAGCAUUAGGGUUGAUUUUGUGUACGCAUGAAUAUCAGGUGUUUGUGGUGGGACACGAUUGGGGGGCAACCGCCGCCUGGCAUCUGAGUCUUUUCCGGCCAGAUAGAGUCAGAGGAAUCGUUGCUCUCGCUAUUCCGUUGUUUCCUAGAUCCCCAAUCAGUCCAACUCAGUUAUUCACCAAAUCGUUUGGAGAUAAUUUAUACAUCUCUCAAUUCCAGGUUCUUCUUCUUCUCUUCUUCUUCUUUCUCUCACUGUGUUUACAUGGAGAUGAGUUUCAUAAAGUUCAGGAAAUUGAUACAGGAAUUAGGAAGAGCAGAGAGGGCUUUUGCGAAAUACGAUUGCUUGACUGUAAUCAAAAAGUUUUUGCUUAUCAACGUUGGCGAUGUACUGGUAGCACCUCCUGGAGUGGAGAUUAUCGAUCACCUGCAAAUUCCUUCUUCAUUACCUCCAUGGAUUACUGAAGAUGAGCUUCAAGUGUACGCUGAUAAGUUUCAGGAGACUGGAUUCACUGGAGCUUUAAAUUACUAUCGUGCCAUGGAUCUGUAAGACUGAAAACGUAGAUAUUGGAUUUGAUUUCUACUUUUUUGCAACAGUAAUCGUAUGAAUUGAUUUGAAGGACGUGGGAACUGGAAGCGCCAUGGCAAGGGGCAAAGAUCAAAGUUCCAUCGAAGCUGAUUAUUGGAGACGAAGAUAUUGGAUUUGAAAGCUGGACGAAGGAAUAUGUUGAGGGAGAUGUUAUGAAAGAACUGAUUCCUGAUGUUGAAGUUGUGAUUAUCGAAGGCCACCAUUUUAUUCAACAAGAGAAGCAUCAAGAGGUUUCUGAUCACAUCUUAUCGUUCCUACACAAACUUGCAUGAGUUUGGGUUCUAGGAUCUGUAUACUCUGAUAGUAUUAGUAUACAGAGAGUAUUACUCUCUCUACCACUAAAAAACAAUAUCAAAGCAUAAUAAAUAGUAAUAAAUAAGCUCAUGGACUCCACUUGUUAUUAUUUAUGUAUUAAUUAUGAAAUUGAAAAUUUCGUUAAUUCUUAUUAUUAUCCGGGCCUAAUGUCAUAUCGCGCAACUAACUAUUGGUUUAUUUUUUAGGGUAAAUUACACAGAUGGUCCCUGUGGUUUAGGGUAAUCUGCUAGAUUGGUCCCUAACAACUUUUUUUUAACUCGGACCAUCCCUAAUUUAUUUUUUCGUUACACGCUUGGUCCCCUAACCAUUAUAAAAAGUCUAAUUUACCCUUACUGAUUUCUUUUACCUAUUUUAAAUUAUCAAUUAAUUAAAUGUGGAAAAAGUGUUAAUUAAAAAAAUAUGUUGGUCUGAUUCAAGAACCUACACAACCGAAGCCUCAUCCCCUCCCUUCCUUCCUUGAUUUCAGUCGUCGGAAAAUAUCACUCCUCUCGUCGGAAAAUCUCACAGAUUAACGAUGUCUUCUCCAGAUUAAGGGUAAAAUAGUCUUUUUAUAACGGACAGGGACCAAGCGUGCAACAAAAAUAUAAAUUAGGGACGGUCCGAAUUAAAAAAAGUUGUUAGGGACCAAGCUAGCAGAUUACCCUAAACCACAUGGACCAUCCGUGUAAUUUACCCUAUUUUUUAAAACGUUCUUAAAAUUUUCUUGUUAUUUUCAUUUUAUUUCAAGUUCUAAAAAGCUCGUCAUGGCUCCAAAGCUUGUGCUUGCCACCAAACUUUACUAAAAUGCCGCCUUAACUCAUAUAUGUGUAUAAAAAUGAAUAAUAGUUGAAAAUACAUAUAAAAAUAUUACUUAUGUACAAAAUUGCCGCCUUAAGUCACGCCAUACAAACGACUUAGCUCACCAAGGUUUGUAAAAGUUUCGGGUUUGACAUUGCCGACAAGUUACACCUUAUGUUAUUUGGAACCUUGUUUUAUUUGCAUUCUAAGGGAAUGAAGUCCGGUUUUAUGUUUUAAAAAGUCAUUUUGGUAAAAUUCAAGGUUUCAUUAGAUGAAACCCGAUAUAUGCCACCUCAUUUAAUGGAGUUUGCUAUGUCAUACCUCCAUGUGCCACUAAGACAAUCUCCAACGCAUCUUCAUUUUCCCCCCAUAAAUGGAGUAAAAAAUGGAGUAAAUAGUAUUUCAUUUCCAAUCCUACUCCAUAUUCUACCCCAUUUUUUACCCCAAAAAAUAUAUUCUUAGAAUAUUCCAUUUUUAUAACUUAUAUAUAUUAUCAAAUACAUCCAUCUACUAAUUAAACUCUAUAUUUAUGAUUAAUUAAUAUAAAUUAGUAUAUAUAACAUGAUAUUAUAAAUAUUAAGUAUUGCAUUUAAAUUAUACUUAGUAGAUAAAAUAAACUAGAAAUGUAUAAAAUAAAAAUAAGAUAGACUAAAAUUGGCAACCAAACUUCACCUUUAUUUUUGGAGAUAUGAAUAGUAUUCCUCCAUAUAUGGGGGAAUACUAUUCAUAUCUUCAAAAAUGGAGGUUAAAAUGGGGUAGGGUUGGAGAAGAAAUGAGGGAAGAAAUGGAGAUUGGGGGUGGGUGGGAGAUGCCCUAAGGAUUUAUAUAAUUAAAACUUAUUUAAAAAGCUUCUGAUGAAUAAGUAUCAUUUCUUGUCUUUCUCCUUACUACAAAUCCAUUUUGCUCUACCUUCGUCUAGUUUUGUCUAUAAUGGUUGUGUAUAUGAUGGCUGAUGGUAACUUUCAAGGUAUUUUUUUUUCAAGAUAUCCAUCUUUAAUGUACACUAAUGACAUACAUCAUUUGUUUGAAUAUAUCGAGUUAACGAGGAUGGACAAGAAAUAAUUUUAUGCUUUUUUGUAAAGAUAUACUGCUAGGAGAUGUCUGAAGGUGUAUUAUUUGUUCACCCGAAGAUAAUUUUUCAAAAGGUUAGAACUUUAAAGGAACAGAUUUUGACUACGAUGAGUUAAUUGAUGUUGGUUACAAUUGUGGGUGUGUACUGGAAAUGUAGAUAGACCAUCUUGGGGAUAAUAUGAAGGAGUGGCUACAUUAAGAUCUUCACGAGGACCAUCACUUAAAUGUUAGAGAUGUGAAAGAAGAUCCUUGUCAAAAUUCGGAUUUUCCAGAAGAUGAUGUUAAAGAUCUGGAUUGUGAGGUUGGCCUUAAUGAUGUGACUCCUAUGAACAAGACUAUGAAUGAUCCUUUCCUCAGUAAACUUUACAGUAAGGAGCAUGAGCGGCUCAACUAGUUUGGAAGCUUUAAGCGAACAAAAAAUUAGGGCCCAUUGUCAUUACUAUAAUUAAUGUUAUAAAUUAAAUCCUCCUCCUUUCCAAAAUCCAACUUGACACAAUGAAUAUUAAAAAAAAAAUUAAGUCAUAUUAACCCUAAUAAAUAGUCUAAUCAAGAAAAAAGAGUCAGUCACUACUAUUCUACAAUCUACAUCAAAGUAUAAAAAAAUAGAUUUCUUCCUUCUUUUGUGCAUAAAAUACUACAUCAAACAAAUUUCUAUUUUCUACAUCAAAUAAAACUUUAUCAAAAUAACAAAAUUUAUCGAUUAUCAUAGAUACUAGAUUAUCAGAUUAUCACAAAUUCACAAUCAUAGAUAAUCAGCAAUGUAUAAUGGACUGAUGGAGUUAUCGGUUAUGGUGAACAGAGAAUCAGAGGAAGAACCGAAGAAGAAUAAUAGAACAUAUCUUUUCAAAAUUCAACCUUUCAAGUUUCAGGACAUGAAUCACCAAAUUAGUUGAGUUAAUCUUGACACUUGACGUCCUUUUCAAAAAGAAGAAUCAAUCAAUUUAUUACAAAUCGCUAGGAAGAAGAUUAGAAGAAGAAUAGAGAAUCAGAGAAGUAAUGGUUUCUACGGUUCUGAGUAGAAUCAAGAAUGAAAUCACUAAUUGUUAGUUAGAUUCAGAGGACAGAGAAAGUAGAAGUGAAGAACAGUUAUCGAGUCGUAGUUUCUGCUGAUGUGCUUGAAUGAAGAAUCCGAAAAAACAAUCAACUAAUUUAAUUUUCCGUUAAGGGGGGCCUAUAACAAUAAGGCCGACCCUAGUAAGGAGAAUCCAACCCUAAAAAAGUACCUAAGGAUGACCGCUACCAAUGAUCCAUAAAUUGAUAUGCAAACAAGCUUCAAUGAAGAUGUUUACUGGAAGAAGUAGAAGCAUGUACUAGGUAUGAGGCUUGAAAGUCCCAAACAGUUAAAACAUAUGGUUUUCAAUUCUGCAGGUGCUAAUGGGUAUCGAUUAUAUUAUAAAAAAAAAUAAUAGUAGGAGAUUAAAAAAAAUAAUAAUAGGAGAUUACUGGUCAAAUGUUGUUUCGGAAAGUGCACUUUUAUGCUUUGGGGUUCAUGGAUGAGUGAAGAAAAUUCAUUCCAAAUCAAAUCUCUUAUUAAUGAUCAUAAUUAUGCUAUAAAUUUUAAGUUAGAAUUAAUUGUUAACUAUGAUUGGAUUUGUAGCCAUUACACACUUGAAUUCCUACACAAACUGAAAAUGAGUAUUAGGCAACCUAUGGAAUAGGUGAAAAAGAAAUUUGGAAUAAAUGUCAGUAUAACAUAGUGUAAGUAUGACAUAGUGUAGGAGGGACAAAACAAUUUAUCUGAAAUAUUAUGUAUCAUGACAAUUAACCUUAUAUUUUUUAUUUUANNNNNNNNNNNNNNNNNNNNNNNNNNNNNNNNNNNNNUAUAUAUAUAUAUUAAGUAACAUAUCAAAUCGAAAUAAUAAUUUUCAUAAAUCACAUCAAUUGACAAAUAAUUUAGUUUCAUCUACAACCAUAAAUAACUUGGUUUUUUCUAUGGAUAAUGACUUAAAUGAGUAAAAUACUUUGUUUUGAUGUUCAUAUUUAGCCAAUAAUAUUUUUUGUACACAUUUUACCAUUGAAGUUGUUUCAAAUGCACCUAAAAAGAUAAUACUAUCUAUUGUUAUAAGUAAUAUUAUAUUUUCUUAAAUAUGUGGAAUAAUUUCAAUGGUCAAAUGUAUAUAAAAAAUGAUCACACAUAUCCCCACAUCCACACUCAUCCCUAGCUAUCACUAUCUUGGCCCCUUGUUGUAUAUCGAAUCCCUUCUUAUGCCAAGUACUUAAUACAAAGAUCUUUAUUAAUAUUGACUUUUAAACUCAUAAUCGUUUCUACCGAGUGUAGUUAAUUGAGUCAAAUAGAAAUAAUUUAUAGGACUAUGCCUAUAUAAAGGGAUUGACUUGAAGGUGAUCUCAUUAUCGUAAAAGGAAACAUGACCACAAACAUUCUUGGAUGGUGGUUCGUGCCAAUGAUCAUGGGUGUGGUCAUGGUGCUGCUAGAGGGUCGACGAUGAAACUUUAUAUGAAACUGUGUCAUUUGGUUUCGAUUGAAACUUGAAAGUACACUGAUAAAAGUGAAAGAAUCGCAACAAUGGUGGUAAGUUUUUUUCUAACUGCAUGUGAGUUCUUGAGUAGAAAUUACAUGAAAAACCGUGCGUUUGACUGUUUCUUAUUUCUAAAAUAACCAAAAUAAUAAUAAUAAUAAUAAAUGGAAAAAAAAAAAGAAAUGAGUAAACCGUCUUCCAAAUCUAUAAUAAAAGUAAACCAAAAGGACCGUAUCGAUAAUUUUUAAAACCGAUUGGACUGUACCAAGCAUAUUAGCAAACUACAUGGACCAAAUUUACAAUCUUCUCUAAUAUAAAAGAAGUAUAAAAGAAGUAAAAUCACAUACGUGUUUGAAAAUGGGGCCGUUGACCAGAAUCACAAUAAGUUUGAAUGCAGCAAGUUUUAAUUUUGACUUUCAUGAUCCAGUGUUCUAACAGGAAACAAACGUCUCUCCAGUUACAGACAUGGAAAUGGAAUGGAUGAAGAAGAUGGGUGAAAUAACUCACCAUACAAUCAAAACCAACGGAAUAUCGAUGCAUGUUGCAGAAAAAGGCAACGGACCUGUAGUGCUCCUCCUCCAUGGCUUCCCGGAGCUCUGGUUUUCAUGGCACCAUCAGAUCACUUACUUAACUAACCACGGUUACCGUGUCCUCGCACCUGACCUCCGCGGCUAUGGCGAUUCCGACUCCCCAUCGUCUCCCUCUUCCUACACCUUCUUCCACAUAGUCGGUGAUCUCAUUGGCGUUCUAGAUCACUUCAAUCAACAACAGGUAUGUCAUUUGUGUGCUUUAAUGGCGAUGAAGCUUUAAUUAGCAUUAGGGUUGAUUUUGUGUACGCAUGAAUAUCAGGUGUUUGUGGUGGGACACGAUUGGGGCGCACACGCCGCCUGGCAUCUGAGUCUUUUCCGGCCAGAUAGAGUCAAAGGAAUCGUUGCUCUCGGUAUUCCGUUGUUUCCUAGAUCCCCAAUCAGUCCAACUCAGUUAUUCACCAAAUCGUUUGGAGAUAAUUUAUACAUCACUCAGUUCCAGGUU